RNAcentral lists this ribosomal RNA (357 nucleotides) under Shigella sonnei. Its description in RNAcentral is "bacterial SSU rRNA". It matches the Rfam family "Bacterial small subunit ribosomal RNA", at positions 67 to 420 of the family's 1533-position model. Lineage: Bacteria; Pseudomonadati; Pseudomonadota; Gammaproteobacteria; Enterobacterales; Enterobacteriaceae. The record is from RNAcentral.
CGGUAACAGGAAGCAGCUUGCUGCUUCGCUGACGAGUGGCGGACGGGUGAGUAAUGUCUGGGAAACUGCCUGAUGGAGGGGGAUAACUACUGGAAACGGUAGCUAAUACCGCAUAAUGUCGCAAGACCAAAGAGGGGGACCUUCGGGCCUCUUGCCAUCGGAUGUGCCCAGAUGGGAUUAGCUAGUAGGUGGGGUAACGGCUCACCUAGGCGACGAUCCCUAGCUGGUCUGAGAGGAUGACCAGCCACACUGGAACUGAGACACGGUCCAGACUCCUACGGGAGGCAGCAGUGGGGAAUAUUGCACAAUGGGCGCAAGCCUGAUGCAGCCAUGCCGCGUGUAUGAAGAAGGCCUUCG